RNAcentral lists this ribosomal RNA (714 nucleotides) under Triticum aestivum (bread wheat). RNAcentral describes it as "partial small subunit ribosomal RNA". Lineage: Eukaryota; Viridiplantae; Streptophyta; Magnoliopsida; Poales; Poaceae. The record is from RNAcentral.
AUGGGCGCGGAUGAGGAGGAGCACCAGUCCCCCGCGCGGAAGCGCGAGCGCAAGGAGGGGAGGAGCCCGCGGCCGCCGAUGAGAAGCGCUCGCACACGACGGACGAGUCAGAGAACGCCUUGCUGCUGGGGCUCGCCAACUACGCAGAUGAGGAGGAGGAGCGCGGGGCCCCGAGGGGGCACGCGAAUGGCCUGCCCCGGGAGGAGGAGGAGGAAGACGAUGAGGAUGAGGAGGAGGAUGAGAGGAGGGCUCCGGAGAGGCGGCCCAGGCAGGUCGAGCUGUGCCGGGACUGCCCCUACCUCGACAUCAUCAACCGACAGGUUUGCAAGAGAGCGGGUUAAAAUUCUGGACAAGAACAAGCAAUGGUCAAGAGCUCUAGAUGGCUCCAAUUAUUUACCUGGAAUGGUUGGUCUUAACAACAUUAAAGAGACUGACUUUGUGAAUCAUAGCAAAUCCCCACUGGUUCAUCGGUUUGGAGAACUAACUCGUAAGAUUUUUCAUGCUAGGAACUUCAAGGGACAAGUUAGUCCACAUGAGUUCCUUCAAGCUAUUAUGAAGGCUACUAAGAACUUCAAAGAAGAAAAAUAUAAGCUAAGAACUCCAGAGAGGCGGCCCAGGCAGGCCGAGCUGCACCGGGACUGCCCCUACCUCGACACUGUCAAUCGACAGCAAAGCCUCUUCGUUUCGAGCAGUAAUGUAGCCCUGUAUUGGUAA